RNAcentral lists this ribosomal RNA (216 nucleotides) under Pneumocystis jirovecii. RNAcentral describes it as "partial large subunit ribosomal RNA". It matches the Rfam family "Bacterial large subunit ribosomal RNA", at positions 856 to 1067 of the family's 2925-position model. Lineage: Eukaryota; Fungi; Ascomycota; Pneumocystomycetes; Pneumocystales; Pneumocystaceae. The record is from RNAcentral.
UUCUGCGAAUUGUUUUGGCAAUUGUUUAUUCCUCUUAAAAAUAGUAGGUAUAGCACUGAAUAUCUCGAGGGAGUAUGAAAAUAUUUAUCUCAGAUAUUUAAUCUCAAAAUAACUAUUUCUUAAAAUAAAUAAUCAGACUAUGUGCGAUAAGGUAGAUAGUCGAAAGGGAAACAGCCCAGAACAGUAAUUAAAGCUCCCCAAUUAAUAUUAAGUGAA